UCUCCAUUCCUUCUCUCGCUUCCAGCAUAAACAAAUGGUUGUCGCACUUCACCACUCCGGUUAGCUCUGAUGAGAAGCUCUACUAAGCAGAUCAAGGGUUUUGGUUUUUUUAUGUUCCCCUCAUCGAUAAAGAAACUAACGUCUUACACUAUCAUUCCCCCCGCGACGCUUGGGUCUGGAUCUCUUCCCCUAACAACGAGACCUUCAACGGCAUGGAUGGAAGCCGUGAAGCCCUCUGUCCCGAUAACAACCCAACGACCAGUGGAGACCCGAAUGGCUAAGGCGGAGCCACCAAGACUCUAGUGUCGUUUACACAACUAAGGAAAGAUCGAGACCCCCUCUCUAUUCGAUAACUGCCCCCCAGUUCUCUUUUUUUUUUCUGCUCGAAUGAUUCCAUCUUUUUUAGCUUUCAUUCUCCACCGAAUCCUUUGUCGUUGUUAAUUUUCUGUGCUUUGGUGAGAUUUGGUUGGAGCAGGUGAAUAUUUAGGCGUAAUCUGAAGAUUUGGGUGCUUCAAGUGAUGGUGCUGCAAGGGUGUGGUACUUGGGCUUCAAGCUG
Long non-coding RNA from Hibiscus syriacus, 556 nucleotides. RefSeq lists it as uncharacterized. The transcript has 4 exons. The record is from RefSeq and is a predicted model, not a curated record. NCBI's taxonomy places the organism in Eukaryota, Viridiplantae, Streptophyta, Magnoliopsida, Malvales, Malvaceae.